GUGAUUUCUGACGUGGCAUCAUCAAGAUUCACACAUUUACUGCAUGCAUGCUUAUAUCUGGGCAUCUUUGGUUUACUUCGAUCUCGAUCGAUUAAUUUCUCUCUCCCCGGCCUGCAUACAUGAUCGAUAUAUAUAUAUAUGAUGCAUGGAGCUUUGAGAUUGAUCGGGGGGAUGAAAUUAAUCCGAUCGAGCAGAAGAAUAGAGUGAUGGCAUGUGCAUGUGUGGGAAUCUUGAUGAUGCUGCAUCGGAAAUUAA
This 255-nucleotide microRNA precursor is filed under the name Leersia perrieri. RNAcentral's name for it is "pre miRNA mir-172". Lineage: Eukaryota; Viridiplantae; Streptophyta; Magnoliopsida; Poales; Poaceae. The record is from RNAcentral.